AAGACCAUUUAAAAAUUGGAAAUUCUUGAAGACUCUGAAUAAUAUUAACAAACACAUCUUUUUGUUCCUGUAUUUAUUUGAAACAGUUUCCAAUAUGGCAAUUCCAAGUUUUAUUGGUGAUGUUAGUCCUCUGUGGGGUGGAGUAGAUUGUAUAGUGUUUAAAGAAAUGGAAUUUGGAAUUAGACUAACAGGAGCUUAGAUUAACAAUUUAGUUACAUGAAAUCUUGAGCAAUUUUCUUGUCAGAUCUGAAUGAGCCUCAGUUUCAUCAUCUGAGGGGAAAAACAACAACAACAACCAGGGAGUGACCUAAUGAAUGCAUAAUAUUUAACAAAGUGUGUAAAUAAAUGAAACUUCACUUAGAGGAAGUUAUUAUUACUAAGGUUCAAUAUGUACCAUAUUAAGAGAACUUUGUGCUCAAACACUUAAAGAACUUAACUAAAAGCAGCACUGUUAAUAUCAUAAAAUUUCUAGGGAGAAACACAUAUCCUCUGCUCUCUGUGUUCUAUAGAGGAGAGUUGACUUCAAUUCUCUAGAAGAAAAAAUCUGAGAGCAGCUCUAGUUUCCACCCAAUGCCAAAUCUCUCUAGUUCAGUCAGAACUGAACAGAAGGAAACACAUGUGAAUAAGUAGCUUAGGAACUUCUGAGUUCUCUUUGGAGAUCUUUGGAGAAGCUGAUCCUGGUUGCACGUAUUCACCUCUGCCAGGAGGGGAGAGGACUCUGAAGACCAAGAAGAGGACUGAGCCACAAUAUGGAAGAUCAUUUUCCAAAAAUAGCCAAGCGAAGACCCCUCAACCAAGAGGAUUCUUGGUAGACUGUGACAUAAAAACAAAAUAAAGAUUGACCGUGUUAAAUUGC
This is a long non-coding RNA of Leopardus geoffroyi (Geoffroy's cat), 856 nucleotides long. RefSeq lists it as uncharacterized. The transcript is spliced from 2 exons. The record is from RefSeq and is a predicted model, not a curated record. NCBI's taxonomy places the organism in Eukaryota, Metazoa, Chordata, Mammalia, Carnivora, Felidae.